CUGAGGGCCCUGGAGACUGAAGUUCUUUCUUUAUGCACAAAACAGGCACAGCCUGGCCAAGGCAGAGCAAGCAACCUCAGCGCCACCCUCCUGGCAUGCCUCAACCCUGCUCUGGAGGGAUUUUUUCUAAUGGGGAAUAGCUGACAAUGUUCUCCAUUAUGAUGGGCUCAAGUUGUGAUAUGC
Molecule: unclassified non-coding RNA, 183 nt
Organism: Gopherus agassizii (Agassiz's desert tortoise)
Lineage: Eukaryota; Metazoa; Chordata; Testudines; Testudinidae
Source: Ensembl